This 497-nucleotide ribosomal RNA is filed under the name uncultured bacterium. RNAcentral's name for it is "partial 16S ribosomal RNA". It matches the Rfam family "Bacterial small subunit ribosomal RNA", at positions 28 to 507 of the family's 1533-position model. The record is from RNAcentral.
GAUGAACGCUGGCGGCGUGCCUAAUACAUGCAAGUCGAGCGAACAGAUGAGGAGCUUGCUCCUCUGACGUUAGCGGCGGACGGGUGAGUAACACGUGGAUAACCUACCUAUAAGACUGGGAUAACUUCGGGAAACCGGAGCUAAUACCGGAUAAUAUAUUGAACCGCAUGGUUCAAUAGUGAAAGACGGUUUUGCUGUCACUUAUAGAUGGAUCCGCGCCGCAUUAGCUAGUUGGUAAGGUAACGGCUUACCAAGGCAACGAUGCGUAGCCGACGUGAGGGAGUGGUAGGCCACACUAGAAGUGGAACGGCGUCCAGGGUACUAAGAGAGGCAGCAGUAGGGUAUCGUACGCAGUAGGCGAGAGUCUGACGGAGCAGGCGCAAGUGUGAGAUGGCGGUCUUCGGUUCGUAAAGAUCUGUUAUGAGUUAAGAACCACUGUCUACGGAAACGUACAGGGAUUGACGGUAAUUAAUAAGAAAGCAACGGCUAACUACGUG